GAACUUAAAGGAAUUGACGGGGGCCCGCACAAGCGGAGAGCAUGUGGUUUAAUUCGAUGAUACGCAGGACCUACUGGGCUCGAACGUAAGAUGACUGUAGGUGAAAGCUUACAUCUCUUCGGAGCAUUUUACGAGGUGCUGCAUGGUUGUCGUCAGCUCGUGCCGUGAGGUGUCGGGUUAAGUCCCAUAACGAGCGCAACCCCUACCUUUAGUUGCCAUCAGGUAAUGCUGGGGACUCUAAAGGAACUGCCUACGCAAGUAGUGAGGAAGGCGGGGAUGACGUCAAAUCAGCACGGCCCUUACGUCCAGGGCUACACACGUGCUACAAUGGCCGAUACAGAGGGCAGCUACCUGGUGACAGGAUGCAAAUCUCCAAAGUCGGUCUCAGUUCGGAUCGGAGUCUGCAACCCGACUCCGUGAAGUUGGAUUCGCUAGUAAUCGCGCAUCAGCCAUGGCGCGGUGAAUACGUUCCCGGGCCUU
Molecule: ribosomal RNA, 480 nt
Filed under: uncultured Sphingobacteriales bacterium
Lineage: Bacteria; Pseudomonadati; Bacteroidota; Sphingobacteriia; Sphingobacteriales
Description: bacterial SSU rRNA
Rfam family: Bacterial small subunit ribosomal RNA
Source: RNAcentral